Passer domesticus (house sparrow) is the source of this 6674-nucleotide long non-coding RNA. RefSeq lists it as uncharacterized. The transcript has 2 exons. NCBI's taxonomy places the organism in Eukaryota, Metazoa, Chordata, Aves, Passeriformes, Passeridae. The record is from RefSeq and is a predicted model, not a curated record.
AAAAAAUUGCUGUUCUGUGUUAGGCACUUCCUCAGAGCCAGAAGUUUAUCCCCCGGAAGUUUUAUCUCCCUGAUAUAUUUGUGGAGUGAGUGCAAAAAAGAUUCUUAAGUUCUGUGCUUCUGAUUUGCUCCUCCAUCACCCUGCUGCAUCAUCAUAAACCCAGGGGUCACCAGAAGGACCCACUGGGCUCUACAUGGGGCUGGUGGAGAAUAAUGUGGAGCAGACAGCAGCACGUCCUCCUCAUCCCCUCAGGGAGUGAGGGACUGAAGGGAAGUGAGCGUGGGCACAGGAAUGAAUGCACACAAACUUGCUUUCAUUUAAUUUAGCCAGGAAACAAUGCACUUCUGCUCCAUCAAAGCACUGAGAUCCAAAGGCAGUUUUCAGCAGGAAUACUGGGACGACUUCUUUCCAGCCCUGGAUGGUUUAUGAGUUGAGUUUAUUAUUGUUUCUAAGGGAUAUUAUUUGAAAUUCUAGUAAGGGAGUAUACCAAGCAGUCCACAGAUCUCAAGUCAUACAUUCCUGCUAGCAACCCAGAGAUGAAAAGCUUGGAAAUGAGUCCUGAACUGUUUUCUGGAUUUCUUGGCAUCAGGAUAAUUCAACUGGGAAUGUCAAGGGUUUUACUAAAUAGCUGCUGGAAGGACUCAGCAGCUGAAAACCCUGCUUCAGUCAGCAAACCAAACAGUUUAAUGGGCAUCACAUGAAAAGCAAAACCAGAAGUUAAUCAGAAGCAAAAUAGGAUGUCCUGACCGGGAAUUCAACCCUGCCCCAUGACAGUUUGGUAUCACAUCUGCAGCUGAACUGCAGAGCACAUUUUACCCCUAACUCUUGGGUGAACAGAAUCCACUGAGCACUAAAAAGGUAGGAACAUUUUUCCUCACUUCUGCUUGGGUCUGUAACAGUACCAUGAGCUGAGGUCUGCAGAAGAAAGAAGUCUGCCUUUUUUGCUUUAGAUUUCAUUAUUUUCAGAGAUUUUUUUUUUUUGAGUUAAGUAAGAUUCUUUUAUUUCUGGAGUAACCACUUGAUAAAAAAAAAAAAAGACAAAACCAAACAGAAUAAAAUUUGCCUCCUAAAAUCAUACAUUUCUGUAAGGUCACAUCACACUACGUGGAAGCAACUCCUAGUAAGAUCAAUUCACACAAAUUACAUGCAGGGGAAGAAAAAAAAAACAACUAUAAAAGCAUUGACUCUUAUUGUUGCUCUCCCCCUCUCCUGCACUCCCCAGGGCUUGACAUUUGUUAAUGGCUUUUCUUGACUGAGUCGUUCUUCUCUCAGGCAGUCUGGGAAGAAGUUCAGCUUUGUCCUCCACUGUGCCCAUGCAAGGACUCUCAGAGGGAGGUGCUUGGAAGAAAGUGGAAGGAGUUUUCCAGGGUCAGAGAGGCUGAUCCAGCUGGGCUGAAGCUGGGCUUGUUUGUGCCAGGAAUCCUUUUGGGAAGCAGACUCACAGGAGGCCUGGACCAGGAUGCAGAACUGCUGGUGGGGUCUCACAAGAUCAGAGUGUAGGAGGAAAAUCAGCUCCCUCAACUUCCAGUUUGGCACUGGAGUCCUCAAGGUUUGGAAGACAUCCAGGUGAGGGCAAGGCCACCAGUGAGAACUGGCUGUGCUGACCCCUGGAGAAGUGACCCCAUGGAAGCCACCAUGAGACAAAAGAGCACUGAGUGAGUACCUGGGGGAGGUCUGCACAGGGAAUGGAAAAUCCCCCAUUUGUGAGCUGCUGCAGGCUGGAGAUACUCAAGUGUGGGAAGAGAAACAGGGACCAGCCUCAAUGUCCACUCCUCACUAGCAAGAAUCUCCUUCCCUGUCAUGGGAUGAGGACUCAAUCUCAGCACUGGGCUUAGCUGGAGAUUUUAGACAUUGCUUAAAAAUAGGGAAUGAAAAGUGUUCAUGUGCACGAAAAAGGGAAGGAGAGAUCUGUGAAUUCUGAAAGGCACUGCUUGUGGAAAAGAUACACCCCAAGCUGGCAAAGCCCCUCGAGGAGAAAGUGGAAUUUUCCCUACAUAAACAACAAUGGUUGUAUGUGUUUAAAAAAAAAAAAGGAAAAAAAAUUGGGAUGCCAGCAGGCAUAGAGCCCUGAUGAGGAAGAAAAGGAGCCUUGUGCACAGGACAUUGGGGGAACUGUUCCAAACCAGUCCAUCCUUAGGCAGAGAUGUCCCUGCUGGCUCAGCAGUGGCUCCAGGGAGGACUGGCUGUGGGAUGGGCAGUGUGGGAGAAGGGGAUUUGGGACUCACUCCUGGCUUCAGCAAGAAGCGUGUUCCUGGCAUCUCCCAGGGCUGGCACUCAGGGUGGGGAAAACAAACAAACAGGUCUGUUCAAAGGCAUGUAGGAGGAAUGAUAUUUCUCUUGGAAGAGCUCUGCUUCUUCCACAGGGCAAAAGAAAAAAAAAAUCACCCUGCAAGAGAAUGAGAGCUCCCUGUGAAUGGCAGGAAGCUAAAUGGGAGAACUGCAUCUGCUGGAUUGUUCUUUGCCUUCUGUCAGGGGGAAAAAAAGUUUGACAAAGAAAUGAAGUUUGAUUCAAGAUACAGCAGGCCAAAGACAGGCAGCCAAGCAGGAAUGGGUUUAUUUAGCUCCAGAAUCAUAGAAUGAUUUGGGUGUGAAGGGAUCUUAGAGCUCAUCCAGUUCCAACCCCUGCAUGGGCUGGGACUCCUUCCACUAUCCCAGCCUCGAACAUCCAGAUGAAGGAGAAGAAUUAUUCUCAGUGCACCAGACUUUUAACCUGCAACUAUUUCAUGGAAAACACUUUCCUUCCUUUCUGCACUUCACUCAGAUGGUAAAGAUGGGAGAUGGGCUCUGGAAACCCUCCUGUGGCAGGGCAACCCCACCCCAGACCAUGCAGGUGAGCUGUACACGGAGCAGGUCAGGAGCUGUCGCUCCAUCACUGCCCCCCUCAGCCUCAGGAGGAUGAGUCCAACCCUGCUUUCCAGAAGGAAGGACAUGGCCACCAGCUUUUCAGAGGGAUUGCAGGUUUUACCCCUCUGUGUGUUGCCUUUGGCCCCUGGGAUGGAGCCCAGGGGUGAGCCAGCCCCAUACACACUGGUGGUGGGAUCUCCCUCCAUUCCCAAACCACACGAUUUUGGCUCAGCUUGCUCACCUCCCUCUGAGCUCUGGAUUUCCCUCCACAGCAGAAGGAAUGCUCAGACAAACCUGUUUUCCCUUCUGGCUCUGCUCAUAGUGAAGGACAAUAAGGAACAAACAGGUUUUGGGUAUGCAGGUUUUAGAGGAAUUGUAUCAGGACUUCUGUAUUUUCUCUCUCAUUUUAGGUCAUGAUGCAGAAAACCAUGGUAAACAUUCUAUAUAUGGGAUUUUGGACAAUUUUUCUCUCUAUGUACUCAGCAGCUGGGAAAAAUAUUUUCCAACCCCUCCACAUUUUGCAUAUGCAGAGGUUUCAUUAUAUUUGUUCUACUUGCUACUCAUAUUUUGUUGAGUUAAUCAUUCACCUCAUUGUAAGUGCCAAGAGAAGUAGAGACAGAAGGAAGAAAAAUGUCGAGCUCUGAUGCUUCUUCCCCAAAGCACAGAAUUACUUAAUAACUCCUUUAUUCAUUCCCAAAAACUUAUCACUUGAAAAUCUCAAUUUGCACAGAGCAAAUUCCACUGUUACUGACCGGCAUAUCUUAUUUAUUUUUAAUAACUUCACUGAUUGUGUGGCUGCAGAGGGCACAUCACAUGGCAAGCACUGGACAUGAGUUCCUGGCUACCUUCCCCAAAGGCUGUGAGCCCUAGGGUGACUUUUUCAUUCUUCUGGCUUACAGGGACACCUUUUAUUCCCUCUUUAGCCUUCUGAGCAUUCACGUGUCUGGCAUAUGAAUGUUGCUGCAGUCACAUGGUGCUGUGAGCACAGGGGGUUCAACUUGUGCUCCACUUCACAAGAGGAACAAAGAGAGACACAAGAUAAACUCACAAGGCCAAGGUCUGGAAAUUCUUUACCCCAUCGAAAUUUGGGUCAUCCUUGGAAAAGGCAUCAAAAGAGCCAUGGAAGAGAUGGGAAUUAGAAAGAGAAGGGUUGAAUUCUGCAUCCAUCCCUUUGAUCCUUGGCAUGUUAACAGCCAGCAGGGCCAGAAAUUCAGGGCUGAGAAACCUCCAGGUUUGCAGAUAAUGCUGAGUAGUUUCAGUAGCCACAGGCCAGAGGGCUGGUGAGAAACUCCUGGAGGACCUCACAGCACACAAAAAGGUGGCAGGUGAGCAUCAGUGUAGGUUAGUUUAAAGAAAUCCACCCAAGGAAAAAUAACCCAAGCUGAGUGCAUGUGAUGCUAAACUUGGAAACUGUAGCUACCAGGAAAUGGAUCGCUGACAACUCUCUGAAAUCAUCAGCUCAGUGUGCAGGGACUGCCAAAAAGCCAAAAAAGUAUCAGGGUACAGAUAAAAGAGCUUUGUUCUGCUGCUGAGCACAACAUUGGUGUGCCCUCACCUCAGAGCCUAGGUGAGGUGCUGGCCUCCAGUGCUUGAGGACAAGUCAGUAGAGAGUGGCCAAGGGGGCUCCUUGCUUUUGGGCUGGCCAAGAUGAGAAAUCCUAAAGUGAGAAGGAAAAGAAGCAGGCAGGGUGUCCCUUCCAAGAGGCUGAGCACCGUGAGGGGAUGGGGGUUCCACUUGGGGAGCCACCAGCAGAGAGUGGCCAGGUUUGCUCAAUCCUCCUGGCACUGGUGGAGAUGAAGGAUAAAGCACUGGGAUAAGUGAUCCAUCAUCUGCCCCAUCCUCACCUGCAGCCGCUGUGGCACACAGCUCAGACCUAGGGCGAGUAUGAGAAUGAGGAGCAGCUGACAGAUGUUUCCCAGAAAAGUCCCCUGGACACUGAGCAUUUGUAGCUCACAGAUUUCCCAACCCAGAGGUGGUGUUUUACUUGGGAUGGAACUCUACUUUUUUCUUUUUAUUUUGUUUUUAAUUAAAAAAAAAAGGCAAAGACUUUGAAGUCAAACUGUUAUUAGAGGUGAUAUGCCAGCCAUGGGGAGGUGCCAACUGCAAGACUUUAUUUUGACUGCUGUCUCAUGAGGAAAGCUGGCAGCUGGGAGCACAGAGAGGCAUGUCCCGAAGAAGGUGAAGAAUUCAGCCAGACUGCUUUCAACAGCCUCUUUGAUGCUGGGUGGCUGAGAACACAGAGCAGGGCUUUCUGUGUGUGCUGUGACAAAAUAUCCUUUAAUGAUUGUCUUCUGGGUCACCCUGGGCUACAGCCUGAACACCUGCGUGGACUCAGUCCAGUGCAGGAGAGCAGGUUUUCAUGGGAUGGCUCACACAGAACCACUGAGGUUGGAAAAGAUCUCCAAAAGCAUCGAGUCCAAGCUGUCCCCUAUCCCCACCUUGUCCCCAGCCCAGUGCCACAUCCAGGGAUGGGGACUCCACCACCCCCCUGGGCAGCCCUUUCCAAUGUUUUUGCUUGAAUAUUUUUACUUCUGCCAAACACACUAGCGUGGGUUACAUGGAUCAGGAUACUUCUACUACCAUGAAAUUUCUUUUUUCUGCUGGGGUAAGAAAAUAAACAACUUUCCUUUAGCCUCUAAUUUGGAACCUGCAACGAUCACCCACGCAAGAGACAACCACGGUGUCAGUCUAAAUAAAGAAAUAGUUCUGUGUUCAGGGAAAAAAUAAAGCUGCAAAUGGGACUUGACCAGGUUGAGAAGACAAUUAGUGCUCUGCAGCCAUGGUGUGAGAAAGGGGGGAACAAAAAUCUCACAUUCAUGACAGCCAUACUUCAUUUUCACACAAAAUAACUCCCUCAGGAUCAGGACCACACGUAGCACUACCCCUGUCCAUGGUAAGGGGCUGGAAGGGGAUGAUCUUAUCUUCCAAACCAAGCCAUUCUGUGAUUCUUUUCCUUCACAGGGACAAGGAAAACGGAGGUUGAAGGACAAGGAAAAAUAAGUCCACAGCUGUUUAGGGCUGACCAGGGGCCUACCCUCUCAACUCCUCCUAUUUAGAAAGGCAAUUUUUGGGGAAUGCCUAUUUUUGGGCAUUCCCCAAAAAACCCCAGCCCACGGUUUUUCACAUGGUGACUACAUCUAGGGCAAUACAAGACAGUUUGGUGGAAAGAUCAAGAGGUUUAGGGCCAACAUUAUUUAAUACCUGUAUUUUUCACUUUUUAAAUGUGUGGAAAUGUUCCUGCAUUUCCUGCUUCUCUGGAAGGUGGAGGGAUGAAGAAGAUGACGAUGGAGACAGCAGGGUUCCUUUGCACAGGAUAGGAACAGUUCAAGCUAAAGCUGUCUUCCCACCUGUGUUUUUCCAUCUCUUCCCCCACCACUUUACACGCUCUUUCACACCACAGAGCUGCCAGUUUUCUUUCAGAGGCAAAACACAAAGGUGUUAACUCGAAUUUCUAUCCAGAGAGAGUGGUUGCAUCCAUCUAGCUCAGCUCCAGACCACUCUUGCAGCAUUUUCUCCAAUGAGCCCCAAGCCUGGCUGGUUAUUUUCUUUCUGGGUUACUUUUUUCAUUCUGCAGCUGUUGAGGGUGGUGAAGGUUGGACAAGGAUUGAACCAACAAACAAGGAAGGAACUCCCCUGAAACUUCCCAGAUCAAAAAGCACACACAAAAUUUUCUUUUCAAGAGGUUUUAAUGAAGUCAUAUUUUUAAACCUCUCACACUGUACAACACAUUUAACUGUACAUCAAGCUCAGAUAAAAAAUAAAGCUUUCUUACAAAGUACGUUUUUCCAGUGAUUUUUUUUCUUCUUUUUUUUUUUUUUUUGCAGUAAAAA